GUGAUGAGGUAAACCGCGCCGAUGAGAUGUGAUAUGAGAGUCCACAGCUGA
Molecule: small nucleolar RNA, 51 nt
Filed under: Pyrobaculum islandicum DSM 4184
Lineage: Archaea; Thermoproteati; Thermoproteota; Thermoprotei; Thermoproteales; Thermoproteaceae
Description: PISsR64
Source: RNAcentral